GAACGCUAGCGGCAGGCUUAAUACAUGCAAGUCGUGGGGCAGCAUGAGUAGCAAUACUUGAUGGCGACCGGCAAACGGGUGAGGAACACGUACACAACCUUCUUUCAAGCGGGGAAUAGCCCAGAGAAAUUUGGAUUAAUACCCAUAAUAUAUUUGAUAAGGCAUCUUAUUAAUAUUAAAGCUUCGGCACUUGAUGAUGGGUGUGCGGCUGAUUAGAUAGUUGGCGGGGUAACGGCCCACCAAGUCUACGAUCAGUAGCUGAUGUGAGAGCAUGAUCAGCCGCACGGGCACUGAGACACGGGCCCGACUCCUACGGGAGGCAGCAGUAAGGAAUAUUGGACAAUGGACGAAAGUCUGAUCCAGCCAUGCCGCGUGAAGGAUUAAGGUCCUCUGGAUUGUAAACUUCUUUUAUAUGGGACGAAAAAAGGGCAUUCUUGUUCACUUGACGGUACCAUAUGAAUAAGCACCGGCUAACUCCGUG
Molecule: ribosomal RNA, 481 nt
Filed under: uncultured bacterium
Lineage: Bacteria
Description: bacterial SSU rRNA
Rfam family: Bacterial small subunit ribosomal RNA
Source: RNAcentral